RNAcentral lists this non-coding RNA (93 nucleotides) under bovine gut metagenome. RNAcentral's name for it is "SAM riboswitch (S box leader)". It matches the Rfam family "SAM riboswitch aptamer (S box leader)". From Rfam's summary of the family: The SAM riboswitch is found upstream of a number of genes which code for proteins involved in methionine or cysteine biosynthesis in Gram-positive bacteria. The SAM riboswitch acts at the level of transcription termination control. The record is from RNAcentral.
UCUUAUUCAGAGUGGUGGAGAGUGAAGGCUCUGUGAAACCACGGCAACCCCGGAAACGGAAGGUGCCAAUCUCAGCGAGAAAUCGAACAAUAA